UACGUAGGGUGCGAGCGUUAAUCGGAAUUACUGGGCGUAAAGCGUGCGUAGGCGGUUGGCUAAGUCAGAUGUGAAAGCCCUGGGCUCAACCUGGGAAUGGCAUUUGAAACUGGCGAGCUAGAGUGUGAUAGAGGAUGGCGGAAUUCCCGGUGUAGCGGUGAAAUGCGUAGAGAUCGGGAGGAACAUCCGUGGCGAAGGCGGCCAUCUGGAUCAACACUGACGCUGAGGCACGAAAGCGUGGGGAGCAAACAGG
This 253-nucleotide ribosomal RNA is filed under the name uncultured bacterium. RNAcentral describes it as "partial 16S ribosomal RNA". It matches the Rfam family "Bacterial small subunit ribosomal RNA", at positions 524 to 776 of the family's 1533-position model. The record is from RNAcentral.